ACGGCGAGUGAAGAGGGAAAAGCCCAAAUUUGUAAUCUGGCCUUUCUUGAAAGGGUCCGAAUUGUAAUUUUGAGAACUGUUUUCUGUGCUGGACCAUGUACAAGUCUGUUGAAAAGCAGCAUCAUUGAGGGUGAAAAUCCCGUAGAUGAUAUGGACUACCAGGGCAAUAUGAUACAGUCUCUAAGAGUCGAGUUGUUUGGGAAUGCAGCUCAAAGUGGGUGGUAAAUUCCAUCUAAGGCUAAAUAUAGGUGAGAGACCGAUAGCAAACAAGUACCGUGAGGGAAAGAUGAAAAGAACUUUGGAAAGAGAGUUAACAGUACGUGAAAUUGUUAAAAGGGAAACAUUUGAAGUUAGACUUGUUAUUGUUGGAUCAGCUUCUUUAUUGAGGUGUAUUCUGAUGAUUAACAGACCAGCAUCAAUUUUUGAGUGCCGGAAAAAGGUAUUGGGAAUGUAGCAUCCUCUGGUUGUGUUAUAGACCUUUACUUCAGAAUACGGUGCUUAGGAUUGAGGAACGCGGUAAGC
RNAcentral lists this ribosomal RNA (522 nucleotides) under Pucciniastrum epilobii. RNAcentral describes it as "eukaryotic LSU rRNA". It matches the Rfam family "Eukaryotic large subunit ribosomal RNA", at positions 86 to 607 of the family's 3401-position model. The record is from RNAcentral. Lineage: Eukaryota; Fungi; Basidiomycota; Pucciniomycetes; Pucciniales; Pucciniastraceae.